Long non-coding RNA from Brassica rapa (field mustard), 2248 nucleotides. RefSeq lists it as uncharacterized. NCBI's taxonomy places the organism in Eukaryota, Viridiplantae, Streptophyta, Magnoliopsida, Brassicales, Brassicaceae. The record is from RefSeq and is a predicted model, not a curated record.
UAAAGAUAAUUUCAUUGUGAAUAUAAAAUAAAUAAUAUAAUAAUAGGUUUUUACAUAUAUAAAAUAUGUAUACAUAUAAAUUAUUAUUUUAUAAUUUAAAUGGGAUCUUAUAUUUAAAUAGAAUAUUCAAAAAAUAUUAUUUUAUUAUUUUAUCGAUUUACGUCAAAUUUUAAACCGAUUCAAGUUGGAACCAACGAAAUUUAUUAAUUUAUAGAGAUUAUUAAUCUAUCGAAUAUUAGUUUAUAGAAGUUCUACUGUAUAUAUAUAGUACUAAAUUAAAUAUGUAGUUUAUUUUAAUCAAGAAUUAUAAAUAAUAAAAUAACACAUAUGGACAUGCUGCAUAGAUGGGAAUGCACAGAAGGGUGCAACAAACUCACGAUAUUAAUUUGAUUCCCAUAAUUUGAUUCCUUUUGACUCUAACAUUUUAGGAAAAUCUCCAUAACUUGAUUCCCUCUAAUUUCGGUAACAAACUAAUGAUAUUAAUAAUUAAUAUCACGCAUCUUGUUAGAGGAAAGAAUAAAAAUCGGUUAAAUAUAUGGUAUUGACUAAUAUAUUGUACAAAUAUCCUACUAUAUAAAAGGGACUAUUUUUAAAGCUUCUUAGGCAUGCCACAUAGGACAAAAUAUUUAGGACUAUUUUUAAAGCUUCUUAGGCAUGCCACAUAUGACAAAAUAUUUAGAACCUAUCAUUUAGACAUGUCAUCAAGGGUGUUUGUUUUAUGGGCUUCGAACCAUAACUUUAUAAAAAUAUCGAACCCAUUUAUAGUUUCCCACAUAAAGACCUAAAUAAGCCUGUUUUAAGCUAUUUCUCUCCAUUUUGUCGUAUCACCUUCACCAGUCAACGCUAUUUUUGGCUUUGAUUAGGUUCACCUCUGUAUUCCUUCCCUCUCUCUAAACUUCUCCAAUAAAAAUCCAUGGAACUCUUCAGCUCCCCCCUCUCUUCUCAUUCUAUCGAUAUCUCUGUAAAUAAUUGAUGCCAGGAUCGGGAAUCAAACAUCGCUUACUCGCUUAUUGUGUCUCUCAACCGGCUAAUCUUUUAUUCAACUGUAGAAAAUGUCUGCUUCCGAUGCUAUUUCUGUCCAGACAGAUGUUACCAAGGCCAACUUUGACGAUCUCCACGCUCUUGCAAAUACGAACUUAUAACUCCCCGAUGUUGAACAAAUAUGUUUCAUGUAAGGCUAUGACCUCAACUAGGCGGCAGCAACGAAUCGUUUGUCGUCCGUUUUUUCAUUGAGCUUUUGGUCAUGCUGUAUUUGUCUUUGUGGGAUGGCGCAGCCACAAGUUUUUGGGGGAAUUUGUGCUCAGGCUAUACUACUCACUCUGUCAUGGUGGUCAUCACGGUGAAUCCUAAAAUUUUUGGAGGUAUUGGUGGGACAGAAGAGGUCCUCCCACGUGUUGAGAUCUUCACAGUGCCUCUCCAAAGUCCAACGACUAGACCCAUAAGGCUUAUUUUCUAUGUAAGGCUAGGAUCGUCGGUGUCCUCCAGCAAAAUGGUUGGUCGACAUAAGAGGUCGUCUGUCGCUUGCACUGGUUGCAGCAGGAGAUUGGACAAAUCCAAGACUUCACUACAGUGCAAUAGAUGUGUUUCACCAAACGUCACUGGAGUCAUCAGGUUCCAUGUCGAGUAGCCUUUAGAUGAUGGCUACGAAAAUGCUGUAUUUGUGGUGUCUGACACGGAGAUGACCAAACAGACCAAGAAAGAUGCAGCCACAAUGGCUCUUGAGGAGGUUAGCUUCCACCCCAGCACUCCAUUCAUCUUAUAUUUUUAAAAUGGUUAAGGUUGCUCUCAUUGACUCACUAAACUUAAACCUAUUUUAAUUUCACCCCCAACCACUGAACCUUCACCGUCUCUUCAAUCACUGAAGAUGUGGCUCUCAACACACAUUCAGAGGUUGCAAGCAGCAGCAAAGCACCACAGGUGUACGACUAAUCGGAACAACCACCAGCAUCUGGCAACUUCACAUGUGAUGCAUACACGAAAGAAAUGGACGGUGAGGCAGCAAAACCACCAAGCUUUGGAGACGAUGAGAACACCCGCAAGCGCCUGUGAGUAAUAUUUUUCAAGUCCAACAAUGUCAUUCCCACUUAACUUCUGUACCUUAAAUAACUAUUUUCCAUGUUUUUUAUUCUUCCAUCUUUGGUUAUUUUUUUGAAUUAUCUGCAAACUAUCUUCUGUUUAACUGUUACUUGGUUCUAAAAUAAAGUUUUUUUAAUAAAGGGAACGUUGACGGCCAUACCUUGGUCUAUUU